GAUGAACGCUGGCGGCGUGCCUAAUACAUGCAAGUCGAGCGAACAGACGAGGAGCUUGCUCCUCUGACGUUAGCGGCGGACGGGUGAGUAACACGUGGAUAACCUACCUAUAAGACUGGGAUAACUUCGGGAAACCGGAUCUAAUACCGGAUAAUAUAUUGAACCGCAUGGUUCAAUAGUGAAAGACGGUUUUGCUGUCACUUAUAGAUGGAUCCGCGCCGCAUUAGCUAGUUGGUAAGGUAACGGCUUACCAAGGCAACGAUGCGUAGCCGACCUGAGAGGGUGAUCGGCCACACUGGAACUGAGACACGGUCCAGACUCCUACGGGAGGCAGCAGUAGGGAAUAUUCCGCAAUGGGCGAAAGCUUGACGGAGCAACGCCGCGUGAGUGAUGAAGGUCUUCGGAUCGUAAAACUCUGUUAUUAGGGAAGAACAAAAGUGUAAGUAACUAUGCACGUCUUGACGGUACCUAAUCAGAAAGCCACGGCUAACUACGUG
RNAcentral lists this ribosomal RNA (497 nucleotides) under uncultured bacterium. Its description in RNAcentral is "partial 16S ribosomal RNA". It matches the Rfam family "Bacterial small subunit ribosomal RNA", at positions 28 to 507 of the family's 1533-position model. The record is from RNAcentral.